Molecule: ribosomal RNA, 459 nt
Filed under: uncultured bacterium
Lineage: Bacteria
Description: partial 16S ribosomal RNA
Rfam family: Bacterial small subunit ribosomal RNA
Source: RNAcentral
CCUACGGGGGGCAGCAGUGAGGAAUAUUGGUCAAUGGCCGAGAGGCUGAACCAGCCAAGUCGCGUGAGGGAUGACGGCCCUACGGGUUGUAAACCUCUUUUGUCGGGGAGCAAAGGGAACCACGUGUGGCUCAUUGAGAGUACCCGAAGAAAAAGCAUCGGCUAACUCCGUGCCAGCAGCCGCGGUAAUACGGAGGAUGCGAGCGUUAUCCGGAUUUAUUGGGUUUAAAGGGUGCGCAGGCGGAGGUGCAAGUCAGCGGUCAAAUGGUGGGGCUCAACCCCGUACUGCCGUUGAAACUGGAGCCCUUGAGUGCGCGAGAAGUAUGCGGAAUGCGUGGUGUAGCGGUGAAAUGCAUAGAUAUCACGCAGAACUCCGAUUGCGAAGGCAGCAUACCGGCGCGCAACUGACGCUCAUGCACGAAAGCGUGGGUAUCGAACAGGAUUAGAUACCCUUGUAGUC